This 223-nucleotide long non-coding RNA is filed under the name Elaeis guineensis (African oil palm). RNAcentral describes it as "long non-coding RNA (EGUI_LNC030189)". The record is from RNAcentral. Lineage: Eukaryota; Viridiplantae; Streptophyta; Magnoliopsida; Arecales; Arecaceae.
GUCAAGUGCCAUGGCAUGGCAACGUUAUUAUUAUGAUAAUAUUUUUUAAAUAAAAAUUCGUACACUCUUGUGAGAGAGUACGAGAACCGCUUAAGAGAACGGGAUAAGGAGGACUACUGUACCAUAGUUCUGUCUGCUCCAACCCUUCCUGCUCAGGGGUAGUCGGUGGAUAAGUUGACCAACACAUCCCACGGUGUGAGAAAGCCUUAAUUAGGAAUACAGU